GCGCAGCAGGCACGAAACCUCUACAAUGUGCGAAAGCAUGAUAGGGGGACUCCAAGUGUCUCUCUAAAGAGAGACUUUUGUAGUAUGUAAAAAGUACUACGAAUAAGGGGUGGUCAAGACUAGUGCCAGCCUCCGCGGUAACACUAGCAGCCCGAGUGGUAGUCAUUUUUAUUUGGCUUAAAGCGUCCGUAGUCUGAUUAGUAAGUUCUCUGUGAAAUCCUGUUGCUUAACAAUAGGGCUUGCAGAGAAUACUACCAAUCUUGGAGCCAGGAGGGGUUAGGGGUAUUCCGGGGGUAGCGGUGAAAUGCUAUAAUCCCCGGAGGACCACCAAUGGCGAAGGCACCUAACUGGAAUGGGCCCGACGAUGAGGGACGAAAGC
RNAcentral lists this ribosomal RNA (379 nucleotides) under uncultured microorganism. RNAcentral describes it as "bacterial SSU rRNA". It matches the Rfam family "Archaeal small subunit ribosomal RNA", at positions 330 to 711 of the family's 1478-position model. The record is from RNAcentral.